GCUAAACUACACAAUACCUACUGUACAACAGGUAUCUCGAAUUUCGAAAUCCAAAUCGAGGAAAAAGGGUCCUCGAUCGCCUGUUUAACUUACAAUAAAAAGCGGAAUAAUGGCGAGUGAUACGAACUCAACACUUGACAUAACUGCGACAGAUAUGCGAAACAAGGAAAUUGAAUUCAUCAGGACAUAUUUCAAUAGUGUUUGACAACAAGAGCAUUAUUUGCUGGGAGAAUAUGAAGGAGAUGCUGAAAGUUUGGAGAGGAUCUUGGAUUCUUACGCUUUGUUAUCGUCGAUGUCAUUUGUUUGUUCACAAACGCACAACAAACGCAAAGACCACAAACGCUUUUCAAUAAAUAGUAAGGAAACAGUGCAUAGCAUCAAAAAGUACGGCACUGCAAAAAUACAAUAUGUAACGGAAAAAAGUGUUCAUUGGAGUUUACAAACUUUAAUUUAUGCUAAUUAUUACAAAAGUUCUUACGGACCGAAGCAUCAUCUCUACGUGUUUUUAUAGCUCCACCUGUAUUCCAAGAUAAUAAAGGCAAUGUACCAAUUGCGAUUUCCAUUUACAAUAGAAAGCACAUAAACUAGGCAAUGCAUACAUGGAUCAGAAAAGGUCAGAUUUUAAACGCUGUAUUACAACGAGAUAGAUUAAACAGUUAUCACAUUUUUAAUCAACAGGCUAAGCAAAAUGACCAUUUUUAGGACUCGCGAGGAGGAGCAAAUAAACAAAAAAAUCUGCUGAGCACAAUUACGCCACCAAAACAUAUCAAAAAUUGCAGAACAGUCAAAAACUUGGCUGCCCAGCAACAAUCCAGAUUCGUGAAAUAAAAGUUUUUAAGGACUACUAUCUUGACAAGACUCUUUAUCCAACAGCGAACAGCUUGAAAAAAGCAGAAAAAAACGUUUUAGAUAAACUAUGAGCAGACAUUUCUAAGACUCCAAACAAUAUGAACACCUCAUGAAAGUGCUACGUGAAACUACCUUUAUCAUCACAACACCAGAAUCAUGUAGUUGGAAGUUCUGUCAAAAUCAGCUACAACGUUGACAAACGAGUAAUAAGUAAAAUUCACGAGCUUGUCAGUAAGAACGUUACUCAACCCUUUGUUUCCAAGUUGAGCCUUGUUCGAAAUCAGGCAUUCACCGUCAACGAACUAAAAUCUUUGAAAGAAGCGCUUGACUACGCAAAUAAACUGCACGAAAUCUUAAAUCGAAAUUGCCCAGUCAGCGAAGGUUUUCCAAUUGGAAAUAGUCCAACAAAAAAGCGUUUGAAAGUAACAAGUGCGGAGUAUCAUGAAGUAUUUCAUAAAAAAUUGCCUCUUCGUUGCAAAAAAGAAGCAUGCUAAUAACUAUAUCACAACAAUGAUCCCAGACAUAAGUCAAAAGAGCGCUGUAUCAUCAAACAAGAAUGCACUUGAAGAGCCAGUUGAGCAAGAAUUGUUGUAUGACAGUUAAACAGAGGAAAUCCAGGCAUCACAAGAAAGCACUUAAGUACCGCCAUUAACAACUUGGAACAACAAGAAAGCACCUACACUGAUACUUGCAAACAGUUGACAUACAAUUCAUUGUUUCUGACUCCAAGGCCACAAAUAAAUGCAUUUACAGAAAGACAGUGUCUUGGGGAUACUGUGCUGGAAUUUGGUCCUGUGAAUGUAUUAACAGUAGAUCUUUGGUCACUUGUCAGUCCAAAAGAUAUAACUGAAAAAGAAUUGAAAAUUAUUGAAAAAGAAGUUACCACAUUCAAACCUGGUUGGCUGACUGACUCUGUAAUUGACGCUUUUUUGUGGAGUUUGACUGAAAACUACACUACUGUUCUUGCAGCAGAAUCAUUUAUUUCGGACUUUGUUAAAAACAACUCAAGCACAAGAUGCACAUGGGCUUAUAGAUCUUAUCACCAAACCAAAAUUAUCCUUUUUCCAAUCAACAUCCAUGACAUUCACUGGACACUACUGGCUAUAGAUAAGUUCUCAAAAACAGACUCUACUUGACCACUUGGAGGAAGUGCAGACAAAAAGAGACCUGAUAAACAGAUGAUGUAUCAUAUAAACAAACAAAGUGGUCACGUUUGUCACUGUUUUAGUGCUUUGGUAGAUGUAAAAACAGGUUGGAACUCAAGCUCAUGGCAAUGUUUUGAACCACUCCAUUGUAAACAGGAAGACAUGUAUAACUGUGGAGUGUACAUAUGCUUGGGAGCAAAUUGUGGCUGUUUGCAAAAUAUGCAGAGAGGAUGACAAUGAAGACUGGCUGGGUUGUGAUCAAUGUGGUCAAUUUUUUCAUGCAAGUUGCCUUAAUGUUGACUUUGCCAUAACCUUGUCAACACAUUUUAGAUGCAGAUAAAAUUAUUAUCAAUAUUAUUUGACAUGCAACAAAAUCAUUAUUAUGGUAUCAGUGCGAAUUGUGCAAUUAAAAUGAGUGCUUCAAAAUAUAGUAAUGUGUGAAUGAUAAAUACUUUAAUUUAAGGUAAAAUGAACUGGAAGAUUUAAUUGAUUCGGUACAAUUGUGCUUGCCACUAAUUGAAUCUCACACAUGCAAUGAAUAGUUUGAAACUGUUGAUGAAAUGUUAUAAUAAACAACAAGUUUUACAAAUAUAUCUGAAAUAAAAUGGCUUAUUCCUAUUUCUUA
Long non-coding RNA from Xenia sp. Carnegie-2017, 2619 nucleotides. RefSeq lists it as uncharacterized. Lineage: Eukaryota; Metazoa; Cnidaria; Anthozoa; Malacalcyonacea; Xeniidae. The transcript is spliced from 7 exons. The record is from RefSeq and is a predicted model, not a curated record.